RNAcentral lists this ribosomal RNA (422 nucleotides) under uncultured bacterium. RNAcentral describes it as "bacterial SSU rRNA". It matches the Rfam family "Bacterial small subunit ribosomal RNA", at positions 355 to 774 of the family's 1533-position model. The record is from RNAcentral.
UCAGGAAUAUUGGUCAAUGGGGGCAACCCUGAACCAGCCAAGUCGCGUGAAGGAUGAAGGUCUUAUGGAUUGUAAACUUCUUUUACACGGGAAUAAAGCGGGGGACGUGUCCCCCUUUGCAUGUACCGUGUGAAUAAGGAUCGGCUAACUCCGUGCCAGCAGCCGCGGUAAUACGGAGGAUCCGAGCGUUAUCCGGAUUUAUUGGGUUUAAAGGGUGCGCAGGCGGGAUGUUAAGUCGGCGGUGAAAUUUUGCAGCUCAACUGUAAAAGUGCCUUCGAUACUGGCCUCCUUGAGUGUGGAUGAAGUAGGCGGAAUUUGUGGUGUAGCGGUGAAAUGCUUAGAUAUCACGAGGAACUCCGAUUGCGCAGGCAGCUUACUAAGCCACAACUGACGCUCAUGCACGAAGGCGUGGGGAUCAAACA